RNAcentral lists this ribosomal RNA (1164 nucleotides) under Oneirophanta sp. CCZ_100. Its description in RNAcentral is "SSU rRNA". It matches the Rfam family "Eukaryotic small subunit ribosomal RNA", at positions 95 to 1206 of the family's 1831-position model. Lineage: Eukaryota; Metazoa; Echinodermata; Holothuroidea; Elasipodida; Deimatidae. The record is from RNAcentral.
GGCUCAUUAGAUCAGUUAUGGUUUAUUGGAGAAAGCCUCAUACCAUGGAUAACUGUGGUAAUUCUAGAGCUAAUACAUGCAACUAAGCGCCGACCCUUCGGGGGAAGCGUGCCUUUAUUAGGAACAAGGCCAGCUCGGUCCUCUCGGGGGCCGGUCUCCGCUGGUGAACUCUAGAUAACAAAGCCGAUCGCACGGUCUCGCACCGGCGACGCUCCCUUCAAAAGUCUGCUCUAUCAACUUUCGAUGGUACGUUAUGCGCUUAUCAUGGUCGUGACGGGUAACGGAGAAUCAGGGUUCGAUUCCGGAGAGGGAGCCUGAGAAACGGCUACCACAUCCAAGGAAGGCAGCAGGCACGCAAAUUACCCACUCCUGACACGGGGAGGUAGUGACAAAAAAUAACGAUACAGGCCUCUUCGGAGGCCCUGUGAUCGGAAUGAGUACACUUUAAAUCCUUUAACGAGGAUCUACUGGAGGGCAAGUCUGGUGCCAGCAGCCGCGGUAAUUCCAGCUCCAGCAGCGUAUAUUAAAUUUGCUGCAGUUAAAAAGCUCGUAGUCGGAUUUCUGGCCGGGGCGGGCGGUCCGCCGCGAGGCGAGCACUGCCCGUUCCCCUGCUCCUCGUCAGAAGGGAGUCGUGGGAGAUUUUUCCCGGCCAGUGAUUCGGUUGGUCGUGCGGUGCUCUUUGCUGAGUGCCGUGCGAGACUGGAACGUUUACUUUGAGAAAAUUAGAGUGUUCAAAGCAGGCCAAAGUGCCCGAACAGCUCAGCAUGGAAUAGUGGAAAAGGACCUCGGUUCUAUUUCGUUGGUCUUGAGAUCCUGAGGUAAUGAUCAAGAGGGACUGCCGGGGGCAUUCGUAUUGCGGCGUGAGAGGUGAAAUUCUUGGAUCGUCGCAAGACGCCCGACAGCGAAAGCAUUUGCCAAGAAUGUCUUCAUUGAUCAAGAACGAAAGUCGGAGGAUCGAAGGCGAUCAGAUACCGCCCUAGUUCCGACCAUAAACGAUACCGACUCGUAAUUCGCCGGCGUUCCUCCCAUGACGCGGCGGGCAACUCUCCGGAAAACCAAAGUCUUUGGGUUCCGGGGGAAGUAUGGUUGCAAAGCUGAAACUUAAAGGAAUUGACGGAAGGGCACCACCAGGAGUGGAGCCUGCGGCUUAAUUUGACUCAACAC